This 950-nucleotide ribosomal RNA is filed under the name uncultured bacterium. Its description in RNAcentral is "bacterial SSU rRNA". It matches the Rfam family "Bacterial small subunit ribosomal RNA", at positions 521 to 1482 of the family's 1533-position model. The record is from RNAcentral.
UAAUACGGAGGAUGCAAGCGUUAUCCGGAUUCACUGGGUUUAAAGGGUGCGCAGGCGGACAUUUAAGUCAGGGGUGAAAUCCUACAGCUUAACUGUAGAACUGCCCUUGAUACUGAAUGCCUAGAGUAAAGUUGAAGUGGGCGGAAUGUGUUGUGUAGCGGUGAAAUGCUUAGAUAUAACACAGAACACCAAUCGCGAAGGCAGCUCACUAAACUUUAACUGACGCUCAUGCACGAAAGCGUGGGGAGCAAACAGGAUUAGAUACCCUGGUAGUCCACGCCGUAAACGAUGAUCACUCGCUGUUGGCGAUAUAUUGUCAGUGGCUAAGCAAAAGUGAUAAGUGAUCCACCUGGGGAGUACGACCGCAAGGUUGAAACUCAAAGGAAUUGACGGGGGCCCGCACAAGCGGAGGAGCAUGUGGUUUAAUUCGAUGAUACGCGAGGAACCUUACCAGGGCUCGAACGCAGGAGGAAUACACCCGAAAGGAUGUAGCCAGCAAUGGCCGCCUGCGAGGUGCUGCAUGGUUGUCGUCAGCUCGUGCCGUGAGGUGUCAGGUUAAGUCCUAUAACGAGCGCAACCCCUAUUCAUAGUUGCCAGCAUAUUACGAUGGGGACUCUAUGAAAACUGCCUGCGCAAGCAGUGAGGAAGGUGGGGAUGACGUCAAAUCAGCACGGCCCUUAUGUCCUGGGCUACACACGUGCUACAAUGGCCGGUACAAAAGGCCGCAACUACGCAAGUAGAAGCUAAUCCCUAAAACCGGUCUCAGUUCGGAUUGGAGUUUGCAACCCGACUCCAUGAAGCCGGAUUCGCUAGUAAUCGCACAUCAGCCAUGGCGCGGUGAAUACGUUCCCGGGCCUUGUACACACCGCCCGUCAAGCCAUGGAAGCUGGGGGUACCUGAAGUCCGUAACCCUUAAGGAGCGGCCUAAGGUAAACUCAGUGACUGGGGCU